Molecule: ribosomal RNA, 621 nt
Filed under: uncultured bacterium
Lineage: Bacteria
Description: bacterial SSU rRNA
Rfam family: Bacterial small subunit ribosomal RNA
Source: RNAcentral
CCUACGGGAGGCAGCAGUAGGGAAUCUUCCACAAUGGGCGAAAGCCUGAUGGAGCAACGCCGCGUGAGUGAUGAAGGCCUUCGGGUUGUAAAACUCUGUCAUUCGGGACGAACCGGAGUCUGAGGAAAUGCAGACUCUCUGACGGUACCGGAGGAGGAAGCCCCGGCUAACUACGUGCCAGCAGCCGCGGUAAUACGUAGGGGGCAAGCGUUGUCCGGAUUCACUGGGCGUAAAGCGCGCGCAGGCGGUGAUGUAAGUCUGAGGUGAAAACCCGAAGCUCAACUUCGGGACUGCCUUGGAUACUGCGUCACUUGAGGAUAGGAGAGGCAAGGGGAAUUCCACGUGUAGCGGUGAAAUGCGUAGAGAUGUGGAGGAACACCUGUGGCGAAGGCGCCUUGCUGGCCUAUUUCUGACGCUGAGGCGCGAAAGCGUGGGGAGCAAACAGGAUUAGAUACCCUGGUAGUCCACGCUGUAAACGAUGAGUGCUAGGUGUAGGUGGGCUCAUACCCAUCUGUGCCGAAGCUAACGCAUUAAGCACUCCGCCCUGGGGAGUACGGUCGCGAAGACUGAAACUUAAAGAGUAGUAGACGUGAGAGAGCGACGAGGCACACGGGAGGUAGG